This 497-nucleotide ribosomal RNA is filed under the name uncultured bacterium. RNAcentral's name for it is "partial 16S ribosomal RNA". It matches the Rfam family "Bacterial small subunit ribosomal RNA", at positions 28 to 507 of the family's 1533-position model. The record is from RNAcentral.
GAUGAACGCUGGCGGCGUGCCUAAUACAUGCAAGUCGAGCGAACAGACGAGGAGCUUGCUCCUCUGACGUUAGCGGCGGACGGGUGAGUAACACGUGGAUAACCUACCUAUAAGACUGGGAUAACUUCGGGAAACCGGAGCUAAUACCGGAUAAUAUAUUGAACCGCAUGGUUCAAUAGUGAAAGACGGUUUUGCUGUCACUUAUAGAUGGAUCCGCGCCGCAUUAGCUAGUUGGUAAGGUAACGGCUUACCAAGGCAACGAUGCGUAGCCGACCUGAGAGGGUGAUCGGCCACACUGGAACUGAGACACGGUCCAGACUCCUACGGGAGGCAGCAGUAGGGAAUCUUCCGCAAUGGGCGAAAGCCUGACGGAGCAACGCUGCGUGAGUGAUGAAGGUCUUCGGAUAGUAAAACUCUGUUAUUAGGGAAGAACAAAUGUGUAAGUAACUAUGCACGUCUUGACGGUACCUAAUCAGAAAGCCACGGCUAACUACGUG